RNAcentral lists this ribosomal RNA (545 nucleotides) under uncultured bacterium. RNAcentral's name for it is "bacterial SSU rRNA". It matches the Rfam family "Bacterial small subunit ribosomal RNA", at positions 358 to 917 of the family's 1533-position model. The record is from RNAcentral.
GGAAUUUUCCGCAAUGGGCGAAAGCCUGACGGAGCAACGCCGCGUGAGGGAUGGAGGCCUCUGGGCUGUAAACCUCUUUUAUCAAGGAAGAAGAUCUGACGGUACUUGAUGAAUAAGCCACGGCUAAUUCCGUGCCAGCAGCCGCGGUAAUACGGGAGUGGCAAGCGUUAUCCGGAAUUAUUGGGCGUAAAGCGUCCGCAGGCGGUCUUUUAAGUCUGUCGUCAAAGCGUGGAGCUUAACUCCAUUUCUGCGAUGGAAACUGGGAGACUAGAGUGUGGUAGGGGCAGAGGGAAUUCCCGGUGUAGCGGUGAAAUGCGUAGAUAUCGGGAAGAACACCAGUGGCGAAGGCGCUCUGCUGGGCCAUAACUGACGCUCAUGGACGAAAGCCAGGGGAGCGAAAGGGAUUAGAUACCCCUGUAGUCCUGGCCGUAAACGAUGAACACUAGGUGUCGGGGGAAUCGACCCCCUCGGUGUCGUAGCCAACGCGUUAAGUGUUCCGCCUGGGGAGUACGCACGCAAGUGUGAAACUCAAAGGAAUUGACGGA